GCGCGAUGAUCAAUAAAACGGCUAAGAAUAGGUUACGAGAUGCGCAACAAGGAAAUUGAUAAACGCUUUCCAGAAUUUGGAAGCCGAUCAGUAAACGAGAAAAGGGGAGUGAGCAAGUUAUAUGUUUUUUUGUUCAAGUAUCUGGGGACUAACAAGAUGAGUAAUAGCAACACGCUGACGUCUACAAUGGCAAAGGUCAUCGACUUGAACGUUUAGAAUGUACGUCAGAAGUUCGCGAAAUACCGUUGCCCGUGGCAACCAAUGUGCGUAGGUGUUUGAAAAGGGAUCGAUGCUCAUAGCAACCGUAGUGUGUGCCUCACUUUAUUUCGAACUCUUGGUCUAUGUGAUUUAUUGGAUUAACAUACAUAUAUUGGAUUUAUUUAUUAUUUAAUUCUAAAAGGUCGGUCUUUCGAGGCACUGGUGAAAACGAAAACUAUUUUUCACUCGAUGGCUCUUGAAGGAGUUGGAAUCGCUUAUGCAAGCUAACAAAGGAGCUAGAUUUGACCGAUUUUCUUGUCGGUGGAGGACAGAACAACGCUUCCAUUCUUCAGAACAAAGUUAAGACUUCAUGUUUGCAGGUGGAGUGUAUAUAAUUUCAGAACUAUCUUAAACUGCGCAUCCUGGCGCUUUGCUUAUAUUAAAAUGCUCCACGUAAAUACACGUACAUGUACGACACUAUUUUCAAUAUGGAAGUGAUUUUUAUGUGAAUUAAUAAAAAACAACAGCCGAA
This is a long non-coding RNA of Dreissena polymorpha, 730 nucleotides long. RefSeq lists it as uncharacterized. The transcript is spliced from 3 exons. Lineage: Eukaryota; Metazoa; Mollusca; Bivalvia; Myida; Dreissenidae. The record is from RefSeq and is a predicted model, not a curated record.